ACAAUCUCAAGGACAAAAAGAACCUUAAAUUAAAUAUUUACACUUCUCUACUUCACAAGAGAAGAAAUUAGGUCGAGUAAAACAAGAAAGUACAAUUCACCUCUAGAAAUGCAUACUUCGCCACAAAACCUGGUGGCUGGAGCAAUAUGCCUAUGAAAAUCCACAUUUUAGGUUCAACAUUUACAUAGUUCAUACAACCAUGAACAAUUUGAACCAGGGAUCAUAAUUACCUAAAAUAUCCCUUGUUUCAAGCUUCAAGAUUGCUAUUUAGCAAAUGUUGUGUGCCAAAGCUAUA
Molecule: unclassified non-coding RNA, 295 nt
Filed under: Hevea brasiliensis (rubber tree)
Lineage: Eukaryota; Viridiplantae; Streptophyta; Magnoliopsida; Malpighiales; Euphorbiaceae
Source: RNAcentral